This 514-nucleotide long non-coding RNA is filed under the name Sorghum bicolor (sorghum). Its description in RNAcentral is "long non-coding RNA (SBIC_LNC005508)". The record is from RNAcentral. Lineage: Eukaryota; Viridiplantae; Streptophyta; Magnoliopsida; Poales; Poaceae.
UUGCUGCCUGUUCAUCGUGCCUUUUUUUUUCCUGCAAUCUCUGAUGCUACCAGUCGGCUCUACAGUGCCCUUACGGACAAGAUUGAUCAGACCAGAAGGAAGUUCCAUAUAUGUGGGUAGUUUUUUGUACCGGUGAAAAAAAGAGCAAAGGCAGGCUCCUGAAUUGUUAUCACUGAAAAUAUUGCCUGUUCUGUAGCAUAUCUAGCUUAUGCUGUUACUGUCUUGGCUAUUAUGUGACUUCAGAAGAUUAACAUAAUAAAUUCUAGUAUUAGAAAUUUGGAUUUGCCUUAAGAGUUAGAGACUAUAGUUUCCCACUUUGGCAUCAAUUAAUUCACAAUUCAUGUUCUUCCAUGCCAUGCUACAGUUUAUUGAAUGACAUAGUACAAAGCAUAGACACUCAUCUCUAAAUUGUGGCGCUCUGAACACAGACUGAGGACAUAUCAUGCUGAAUGCAGAAUGGGGACUCUUAUCAAUCGAGGCAUAUAAAAAUUACCAGGCAAUCAAGCCUGUACUU